ACGGCGAGUGAACCGGGAUCAGCCCAACUUGAAAAUCUCUUCGGAGAAUUGUAGUCUAAAGAAGCGUCCUCUGUAGCGRCACUUUCCCAAAUCCGGUGGAAGCCGGUGUCAGAGAGGGUGAAAACCCCGUCGGAAACGUGCUUAGCUGCUCCACGAGGUGCUUUCCAUGAGUCGGGUUGCUUGGGAAUGCAGCCCAAAUCGGGAGGUAAAUCCCUUCUAAGGCUGAAUACUGGCGAGAGACCGAUAGCGAACAAGUACCGUGAGGGAAAGAUGAAAAGAACUUUGAAAAGAGAGUUAAAAAGUGCUUGAAAUUGUUGAGAGGGAAGCGAUUGGAAGCCGUGUGUGCGCCUGGGUCGAUAGGAUUUUAACGAGUCCUUGUAGAUGCCAGGUGCUGGUCAGCAUGGGUUUUUCGGUCGGGAUAAAUGCUUGGGGUGAUUCCCUUUGUUUAUGCCGAUUGAGAGACCAAGGCGUUAACGCUGCUUUGUCCUAUGGAACUGCAGUCGUCAAUAUGCUGGCAGAAGGCUUCCAAUCGGCCCGUCUUGAAACACGGACCAAGGAGUCCAACAUGUAUGCGAGUCGGUGGGUGUCAAACCCAUUGGCGCAAGUAACCUGACUCUAGGUGGGAACCUUUUAACCGAGGUGCACCAUCGACCGACCCUGAGCUUUUUGCGAAAGGUUUGAGUGCGAGCAUAAAUGUUGGGACCCGAAAGAUGGUGAACUAUGCCUGAGCAGGGUGAAGCCAGAGGAAACUCUGGUGGAGGCUCGUAGAUGUGCUGACGUGCAAAUCGCUU
This 791-nucleotide ribosomal RNA is filed under the name Chlamydomonas pitschmannii. RNAcentral describes it as "eukaryotic LSU rRNA". It matches the Rfam family "Eukaryotic large subunit ribosomal RNA", at positions 86 to 903 of the family's 3401-position model. The record is from RNAcentral. Lineage: Eukaryota; Viridiplantae; Chlorophyta; Chlorophyceae; Chlamydomonadales; Chlamydomonadaceae.